AAAAGAACCAAAGCAGGAACAACAUUAGGCUACUCAGUUGCGCCCUAACAGUAUAACUUUGUAAUGAGUACUUUUUCUCAUUUUAUCGAACAAAGAAUAAAACCAAAUUAUAUUGUUCUAUUAUGUCCCGAAAGUGUAAAUUUGAAAAAUGAAUCGAUGUCAACCUUCACAAGAACCAAAACCGGAACAAUAUUAGACUACUCAGUUGCGCCCUAACAGUAUAACUUUGCAAGGAGUACUUUUUCUCAUUCAAUCGAACAAAGUGUAAAAGCUAAUUAUUUUAUUCUAUUAUGCCCCGAGAGUGUAAAUUUGGAACGAAUCGGUGUCAACGCUCACAAGAACCAAAACCGGAACAACAUUAGACUAUUCAGUUGCGCCCUGACAGUAUAACUUUGCAACGAGUACUUUUUCUCAAUCUAUCGAACAAAAAGUAAAAGCAAAUUAUAUUGUUCUAUUAUAUCCCAAGAGUGCAAAUUUGGAACGAAUCGAUGUCAACCUUCACAAGAACCAAAAUCGGAACCAUAUUAGACUACUCAGUCGCCCCUAAGAGUAUAACUUUGCAAGGAGUACUUUUUCUCAUUCAAUCGAGCAAAGUGUAAAAACUAAUUAUUUUAUUCUAUUAUGCCCCGAGAGUGUAAAUUUUGAACGAAUCGAUAUCAACGCUCACAAGAACCAAAACCGGAACAAAAUUAGAUUACUUAGUUGCGCCCUAAAAGUAUAAUUUUGCAACGAGUACUUUUUCUCAUUCUAUCGAACAAAGAGUUAAAAUCAAAUUAUAUUGUUCUAUUAUGCCCCGAGUGUUGUAAUUUCGAGCGAAUCGAUGUAAACGUUCACAAGAACCAAAAUCGGAACAGCAUUAGGCGACUCAGUUGCGCCAUAACAGUAUAACUUUGUAAAGAGUACUUUUUCUCAUUCUAUCAAACAAAGAGUAAAACCUAAUUAUAUUGUUCUAUUAUGUCCCGAGAGUGUAAAUUUGGAAUGAAUCGAUGUCAACCUUCACAAGAACCAAAACCGGAACAAUAUUAGAAUACUCAGUUGCGCCCUAACAGUAUAACUUUGCAAGGAGUACUUUUUCUCAUUCAAUCGAGCAAAGUGUAAAAGCUAAUUAUUUUAUUCUAUUAUGCCCCGAGAGUGUAAAUUUGGAACGAAUCGAUGUCAACGCUCACAAGAACCAAAACCGGAACAACAUUAGACUACUCAGUUGCGCCCUAACAGUAUAACUUUGCAACGAGUACUUUUUCUCAUUCUAUCGAACAAAGAGUAAAACCUAAUUAUAUUGUUCUAUUAUGUCCCAAGAGUGUAAAUUUUGAACGAAUCGAUGACAACCUUCAGAAGUACCAAAAUCGGAAAAACAUUAUAUUACUCAGUUGCGCCCUAAUAGUAUAACUUUGCAUGGA
Molecule: long non-coding RNA, 1397 nt
Filed under: Ananas comosus (pineapple)
Lineage: Eukaryota; Viridiplantae; Streptophyta; Magnoliopsida; Poales; Bromeliaceae
Description: long non-coding RNA (ACOM_LNC022321)
Source: RNAcentral